CAUAGAUCAUUAUAAUAAUUUUAUGCAGAACAGAGCAGAAGUGGUAUUCCAAAACUGAACUGGCACCACCUUCUCUGUGACGUACAUUUUAGGUCACUUUUCUGAAGUUCUGACUGUCACUCUUUUAUCUGAGUUCCUACUGGAAACCUAUCACCACUUCCUCUCCAGUCUACCCUCAUUUUAGCCAUGUUCUUGUUCUUAGGAACAUAGCUGUCUCACUAGAGAUCCUAUCACAAUUCUGUGUAUACAAGAAGUUAGAACACUUGAAAUCAGCUAAGCGAGAAUGCCAUCAGCAGUGCAUCGAUCUCAGCUGCAUCCAGGUGUAUCAGUUGAAUGGCAGAGGGACUAGAAAUUACAUUUCAUGAAGAAAACUUACAGAACUGAAGAUAUUUAGGCUGCAAAAGAAAAGACUAAGGUAAGCCUGUGGGCAGGUUAAGGUUUAAAACACUAAGAGUUCACCUGUAGACUAAUGCUUAGAAAGAGAAGACAAGAAAAAUGAGGAACGGAAUACAGAGAAACAAAUCUUGGCUUAUUUUAAAUCCUUUUCAGAGAACAGUAUACAAGCAUGGUGAAGAGUGAAAUGUCUACUGCUAAACUACAGAGGUAUCCGAUACAGGUUCUUAAGUGCUGAGGGACUUUGCAUAAAUUACUGAGGCUGUGGUUUUGGUUUUCUCCAGUGUAAAUAGUGUUGAAUACAGUAUCCAUAAAAUACCUGAACAGGUUGAGAAAGGAAAUGUGUAUAAAGUGGUUAAAAAGAGACUGACACAAAGUAAGUGCUCUAUAAAAAUUGCCUGUAAAAAAUAAGACUACCACAA
Molecule: long non-coding RNA, 815 nt
Filed under: Pan paniscus (pygmy chimpanzee)
Lineage: Eukaryota; Metazoa; Chordata; Mammalia; Primates; Hominidae
Description: lncRNA (ENSPPAG00000044844.1)
Source: RNAcentral